GGCGAACGCUGGCGGCAGGCCUAACACAUGCAAGUCGAACGAUGAACCCGGAGCUUGCUCCGGUGGAUUAGUGGCGAACGGGUGAGAAACACGUGAGUAACCUGCCCUUGACUCUGGGAUAACUGCGGGAAACUGUAGCUAAUACCGGAUACGACCCUCGGCGGCAUCGCCAGGGGGUGGAAAGAAUUUCGGUCAAGGAUGGACUCGCGGCCUAUCAGCUAGUUGGUGAGGUAACGGCUCACCAAGGCGACGACGGGUAGCCGGCCUGAGAGGGGGGCCGGCCACACUGGGACUGAGACACGGCCCAGACUCCUACGGGAGGCAGGAGGGGGGAAUAUUGCACAAUGGGCGCAAGCCUGAUGCAGCAACGCCGCGUGAGGGAUGACGGCCUUCGGGUUGUAAACCUCUUUUAGUAGGAAAGAAGCGAAAGUGACGGUACCUGCAGAAAAAGCACCGGCUAACUACGUGCCAGCAGCCGCAGUAA
This 484-nucleotide ribosomal RNA is filed under the name uncultured bacterium. RNAcentral describes it as "partial 16S ribosomal RNA". It matches the Rfam family "Bacterial small subunit ribosomal RNA", at positions 28 to 523 of the family's 1533-position model. The record is from RNAcentral.